Molecule: long non-coding RNA, 884 nt
Organism: Poecile atricapillus (Black-capped chickadee)
Lineage: Eukaryota; Metazoa; Chordata; Aves; Passeriformes; Paridae
Exons: 4
Source: RefSeq, a predicted model, not a curated record
GUCCACGUAUUUGUUACUACGGCCUAAAGGAAUUACUCACGUGAGACGCUUACGGCCGAGGUCACGUGGGGUUCAAAGCAGAAGUAACUUGCUAGCGAAGAACAUGGAAACUCAUCAGGUGCAGAGACGAGCAGACGGCCCAAAGAGCAGAAGAGCGAGCACGCCGAUGUGAACCGUAUCGAGACCGCAGUUGACGGCUGAACACCUUUGAUCCCGCAUGCGAGAGCGAUGAACUUUGGGUUUCGUGUGAAAGAGUAGGAAAAUCGAUAUUGUAAAGCCUCAUUUGUUAAAGCGUGGUGUGAACUGUGUCAAGAUUCAGAAACCUGCAUGAGAGAUAAAGUCCUUGAAGAUGAAGGUGAAUCAGAGAGAUCAGAGAUGUUAAGAGAGACACCGGGGUUUCUGAUAAACCCCUGGAAGGGAUAAGGCGAGGCACGUACGACACGAGAGGUACAAAAGGCACGGAAGGCACGGUAGAAAAGUGACACGACACACCCCGGGAUUGCUCUGUCCUGCGCACCUCAGCACUGUGAGCCAAAGUCUUGGACUUCGACUUAGCUCUCAUAUGCGUGGGGACGAGAAGCCACGUGGGGCACAAGGGAAGGCCGCCUCACCGUCUGGCACGUUUCUGGCAGGCUGUUGUCUCUUGGACAGGUACAAUAAAGAAAACCAAAUAUCAGUGCAAGAUCUUAGCAGCACAUCUGUGAAAACCCAACACUCACGGUCUCCUGACAAUGGCUGGGUCCUUCGCCUGCAUGCUUCAGCCCCGCUGGGAUGCUGAGGCUUGCGGAGCGAAACUCUUCAAGCGGUAUUGCUGUGGAUCCGAAUGAACCGCCGCCUCGAUGAGGUUUGGGAGCCUCCCCGGUUGCGGAUGAACGGGGAGCCCG